RNAcentral lists this ribosomal RNA (398 nucleotides) under Bruchidius sp. KE07. RNAcentral describes it as "partial 12S small subunit ribosomal RNA". Lineage: Eukaryota; Metazoa; Arthropoda; Insecta; Coleoptera; Chrysomelidae. The record is from RNAcentral.
UAAACUAGGAUUAGAUACCCUAUUAUUAUAAAUGUAAAUUUAAGAUACUUAAUUAGUAUUAGUUAUUUUCUUGAAAAUUAAAAAAUUUGGCGGUAUUUUAGUCUUUUCAGAGGAACCUGUCCUGUAAUUGAUAAUCCACGAUUAUAUAUACUUUAAUUUUUAGUUUACAUAUCGUUGUAGAUUGAAUAUUUUAAUAGAAUUUGAAUAUUCAAGAUUUUUUAUUAAAAAAUAAAUCAGAUCAAGGUGUAGCUUAUAUUUAAGAAGAGAUGGGUUACAUUAAAAUUAUUUUAGAAUAUUUUUUUUUAAAAGGAAUUGAAUUUGGAUUUGAUAGUAAUUUAAUAUAUUUAUUUAAAAUGAUUAUAGCUCUAAAAUAUGCACACAUCGCCCGUCGCUCUUAA